This 846-nucleotide ribosomal RNA is filed under the name uncultured organism. Its description in RNAcentral is "bacterial SSU rRNA". It matches the Rfam family "Bacterial small subunit ribosomal RNA", at positions 650 to 1489 of the family's 1533-position model. The record is from RNAcentral.
GGUAGAGGUUGCCGGAACUGUAGGUGUANCGGUGAAAUGCGUAGAUAUCUACAGGAACACCAAAGACGAAGGUAGGCAACUGGGCCGGUUCUGACGCUCAGGCACGAAAGCGUGGGGAGCAAACAGGAUUAGAUACCCUGGUAGUCCACGCCGUAAACGAUGUGCACUAGAUUCGAGAGGCUCUGACGCCAUUCGGGUCGAAGCAAAAGUGUUAAGUGCACCGCCUGGGGAGUACGGUCGCAAGGCUAAAACUCAAAGGAAUUGACGGGGGCUCACACAAGCGGUGGAGCAUGUGGCUUAAUUCGAAGCAACGCGAAGAACCUUAUCCUGGGUUUGACAUGCACGGAUACCCUCGCCGAAAGGCGAGUAAGUUGCCCAUUCGGGUGAAACGUGCACAGGUGCUGCAUGGCUGUCGUCAGCUCGUGCUGUGAAGUGUUGGGUUAAGUCCCUUAACGAGCGAAACCCCUGUCGCUAGUUGCUAACAGGUCUCCGGACGCUGAGGACUCUAGCGAGACUGCCGGUGUCAAACCGGAGGAAGGCGGGGAUGACGUCAAGUCCUCAUGGCCUUUAUGCCCAGGGCUGCACACGUGCUACAAUGGCGUGAACAGAGCGACGCAAUACCGUAAGGUGGAGCAAAUCGCAAAAAUCACGCCCCAGUUCGGAUCGAGGUCUGCAACUCGACCUCGUGAAGGUGGAAUCGCUAGUAAUCGCGCAUCAGCAAUGGCGCGGUGAAUACGUUCCUGAGCAUUGUACACACCGCCCGUCAAGUCAUGGAAGCCGGGAGUGCCCGAAGUCGCACCGUUUCAGGUGUGCCUACGGCAAGCUCGGUGACUGGGACUAAGUCGU